UCCCUCUAUAAUGGAUAUCUGUAUAUAUCGGAUGUGAUUCUUAUGUCUCCUAAUAUUAAAAAUUGCUAACUUGGAAUUCUAGUAGAGAUUUGGGGUCAUGUAAGGUCUGCCAUAUACUUCGAAUUGGAAUAUACUCAUUAAGAUGAGUAUCAAAGAACAGUGAAGGUUAGAUUUAUUACUGUUAGCUCAUGCUUCCAAAGGGUAUUGCAAAGAUACCUCCAAGACAUAUUUACUGUUUUGUAUUCUAUUUAUACCAGGCCUUCCUAGCAUUGUAAAUUGAGUUACCUGUACUGUUACACAAUGGAAACCGAUUUCCCUUUUAGUUUGAGUUAGUUGCAACUGAUAACAGUUGUCACUUUUUUUACUCAAGGGUAUGAAAGUGCCAGUAUGUCUAGCACAUGUGAACCUUGCAAAAGUAGGAACAGACAUUCAGCCCAGACUGAAGAGCCUGUUCAAGCAAAAGUAUUCAGCAGAAAGAAUCAUGAGCAACUGGAAAAAAUAAUAAAAUGUAAUAGGUCUACAGAAAUAUCUUCAGGCUGGAGUGCAGUGGUGCGACCUCGGCUCACUGCAACCUCUGCCUCCCGGGUUCAAGCGAUUCUCCUGCCUCAGCCCACUGAGUAGCUGGGACUACAGCACAUGCUAGGAGAAUACUACAGCAGUCUAACAGAAAUGCAUGCAAUGA
This 682-nucleotide small RNA is filed under the name Pan troglodytes (chimpanzee). RNAcentral's name for it is "retained intron". Lineage: Eukaryota; Metazoa; Chordata; Mammalia; Primates; Hominidae. The record is from RNAcentral.